Molecule: ribosomal RNA, 499 nt
Filed under: Triatoma dimidiata (kissing bug)
Lineage: Eukaryota; Metazoa; Arthropoda; Insecta; Hemiptera; Reduviidae
Description: partial 16S ribosomal RNA
Rfam family: Archaeal large subunit ribosomal RNA (bases 61-268)
Source: RNAcentral
ACUUGAAUGAUUUAAUUAAUUGGGAUUUUAAUGUUAUAAUGAUUAAAUUAGUAUUUUUUUUAAUUAAAUUAUAGGAACUCGGCAAAUUUAGUGUUCGCCUGUUUAACAAAAACAUGUCCUUUUGUUUAUUUAUUUAAGGUCUGACCUGCCCAAUGAGGAAUUCAAUGGCCGCAGUAUUUUAACUGUGCUAAGGUAGCAUAAUCAUUUGUCUUUUAAUUGAGGGCUGGAAUGAAAGGUUGGACGAGAUAUUAACUUUCUUUAGUUUAAUUUUAAGAAUUUAAUUUUUAAGUUAAAAAGCUUAAAUUUAUUUGUUGGACGAGAAGACCCUAUAGAUCUUUAUAAUUUUAUGUUUUGAUAAUUUGGUGAUUUUAUUUAUUGUAAGUAGAAGAAUUAUUUUGUUGGGGUGACUGUAGAAUUUUAUUAACUUCUAUUAUUUUUAUUUCAUUGAUUGGUGUUUUUUUGAUCCAUAUAUUUAUGAUUAAAAGAUUAAGUUACCUUA